Molecule: ribosomal RNA, 440 nt
Filed under: uncultured bacterium
Lineage: Bacteria
Description: partial 16S ribosomal RNA
Rfam family: Bacterial small subunit ribosomal RNA
Source: RNAcentral
CCUACGGGAGGCAGCAGUGGGGAAUAUUGCACAAUGGGGGAAACCCUGAUGCAGCGACGCCGCGUGAAGGAAGAAGUAUCUCGGUAUGUAAACUUCUAUCAGCCGGGAAGAAAAUGACGGUACCUGACUACGAAGCCCCGGCUAACUACGUGCCAGCAGCCGCGGUAAUACGUAGGGGGCAAGCGUUAUCCGGAUUUACUUGGUGUAAAGGGGGCGUAGGUGGCGAUGCAAGUCAGGAGUGAAAGCUCGGGGCUCAACUCCGGGACUGCUUUUGAAACUGGAUGGCUAGAUUGCAGGAGAGGCAAGUGGAAUUCCUGGUGUAGCGGUGAAAUGCGUAGAUAUUAGGAGGAACACCAGUGGCGAAGGCGGCUUGCUGGACUGUAAAUGACGCUGAGGCACGAAAGCGUGGGGAGCAAACAGGAUUAGAUACCCGGGUAGUC